RNAcentral lists this ribosomal RNA (1243 nucleotides) under metagenome. RNAcentral describes it as "bacterial LSU rRNA". It matches the Rfam family "Bacterial large subunit ribosomal RNA", at positions 1642 to 2910 of the family's 2925-position model. The record is from RNAcentral.
CCGUACCGCAAACCGACACAGGUAGUCGAGAAGAAUAUUCUAAGGUGCUCGAGAGAUUCAUGGCUAAGGAACUCGGCAAAAUAAACCUGUAACUUCGGGAGAAGGGUUGCCUCCUCUAGCAAUAGAGAGGUCGCAGAGAAAUGGCCCAGGCGACUGUUUAACAAAACCACAUGGCUAUGCGAAAUCGCAAGAUGAAGUAUAUGGCCUGACACCUGCCCGGUGCUGGAAGGUUAAGGGGGGAAGUUAGCAGCAAUGCGACGCUUUGAACUGAAGCCCCAGUAAACGGCGGCCGUAACUAUAACGGUCCUAAGGUAGCGAAAUUCCUUGUCGGGUAAGUUCCGACCUGCACGAAUGGUGUAACGAUCUGGGCGCUGUCUCAGCCAUGAGCUCGGUGAAAUUGUAGUAACGGUGAAGAUGCCGUUUACCCGUCACGGGACGGAAAGACCCCAUGAACCUUUACUAUAGCUUCACAUUGAUAUUGGGAAGAUGAUGUGUAGGAUAGGCGGGAGGCAAUGAUCUGGUGGCGCUAGCUAUCAGGGAGUCAACGGUGAAAUACCGCCCUUUAUUUUUCCGAUAUCUAACCACCGCAAGGUGGGACAUUGUGUGGUGGGUAGUUUGACUGGGGUGGUCGCCUCCGAAAGUGUAUCGGAGGCUUUCAAAGGUAUGCUCAGUACGCUUGGUAACCGUACGUGGAGUGCAUUAGCAUAAGCAUGCUUGACUGUGAGACAGACAAGUCGAUCAGGCGCGAAAGCGGGAUAAAGUGAUCCGGUGGUUCUGCAUGGAAGGGCCAUCGCUCAAAGGAUAAAAGGUACUCUGGGAUAACAGGCUGAUCUCCCCCAAGAGCUCAUAUCGACGGGGAGGUUUGGCACCUCGAUGUCGGCCCGUCACAUCCUGGGGCUGGAGAAGGUCCCAAGGGUUGGGCUGUUCGCCCAUUAAAGUGGCACGCGAGCUGGGUUCAGAACGUCGUGAGACAGUUCGGUCCCUAUCUGUGAUGGGCGCAGGAAGUUUGAGAGGCUCUGACCUUAGUACGAGAGGACCGGGUUGGAGCAACCGCUGGUGUACCGGUUGUCAUGUCAGUGGCACUGCCGGGUAGCUAUGUUGCGACGGAAUAAGCGCUGAAAGCAUCUAAGCGCGAAAUCCACCUCGAGAUGAGACUUCCUUAUAAGGGCCGUCGUAGACUACGACGUUGAUAGGCUGCAGGUGUAAAGUCAGAAAUGGCAAAGCCGAGCAGUACUAAUUACCU